This 254-nucleotide ribosomal RNA is filed under the name uncultured bacterium. RNAcentral's name for it is "partial 16S ribosomal RNA". It matches the Rfam family "Bacterial small subunit ribosomal RNA", at positions 524 to 776 of the family's 1533-position model. The record is from RNAcentral.
UACGGGGGGAGCAAGCGUUGUUCGGAUUUACUGGGCGUAAAGGGCGCGUAGGCGGCCUCCGCAAGUCAGUUGUGAAAUCUCCGAGCUUAACUCGGAAAGGUCAACUGAUACUGCGGGGCUAGAGUGCGGAAGGGGCAACUGGAAUUCUUGGUGUAGCGGUGAAAUGCGUAGAUAUCAAGAGGAACACCUGCGGCGAAGGCGGGUUGCUGGGCCGACACUGACGCUGAGGCGCGAAAGCUAGGGGAGCAAACAGG